Pangasianodon hypophthalmus (striped catfish) is the source of this 1760-nucleotide long non-coding RNA. RefSeq lists it as uncharacterized. Lineage: Eukaryota; Metazoa; Chordata; Actinopteri; Siluriformes; Pangasiidae. The record is from RefSeq and is a predicted model, not a curated record. The transcript has 5 exons.
AUUUCUCAUCACAUGUAGCUGAACCUGCUCACUACAUGCAAAUACUGCUUAGUUAUGCAGAGGUGCUUGCAUCUGAUGCCUGAGACCACACAUUUCUCCUCCAUUGUUUUAAGAGGCAGAUAAAAGCUUGCAACAAAAAGCUCUGUUUUUGGAGGGAAAAUAGGAAGAGAUGCUACCUAAUGAGUUCCUUUUUGCUGUAAUCCAUCUUUCAGCAUUUGUCAGUGGUCACAUAUGUGUGGAACAGCUGCCAACCAUUGUACAUCUCACUGAGGGAGAAAAUGUGACCCUGUCAUGUCACAUCCGUGCAGAUGAAGGGGAGAAAAUUUCUAAAUUCCGUGUAGAGUGGUACAUUGAGGGGGCUGAUGGACAACUACAUGAGGUCGGAAACCUUUCCCAGCUUAGAGGAAGGUUGCAUGAGAAGGCUAAUAGCAAUCAGCAAAGUGCAAGCCUUUCACUCUCCUCUCUCAAGCUAAAUGACACCGGCAAAUACUUCUGCAAUUUCAUCUACCAGAUUGAUCAGAAAAUAUUACAGCUUUAUGCGAAUGGCACAAGCCUCAUUGUCCAAGAGGAGGUGACUACAGAGACGACCAUCCUCAGUACCACAAAUAAUACUGGUAAUAAUACUGAUGCUGAUACUGAGAACAACGUCACAGAAAAUGUCCUUCUCACAUUCCUUCUUUCUCUUCCGUUAUCAUUAAAGUUUGUGGCAACUGUGUUUAUAUGCUUUUAUACUUUAUUUUCCUAUACAUCAACUUCUAUUUCUUGUCCUGGUUUACUUAGAAAUGUAAGGUGACAUCUUUCUAAAUGUCUCUACAUGGCUUCUGUUUAUCACCUAACAUAAGUGAACCGUAUGACUCAUAAACACCCACAGAUGUCAAAAUGUCCUUCUAUGCAUAAAUAUUACAAUUCUUGAUGUUUGUUCUAACUUGUGGCUUCUCUCACAUGUUCGCAAUUAUGAAAAAGGUGUCAAAUGUGUGUCAAUGCAUGAAAGUGGCUAUAGGCAGAAACAUUAUUUCUUCUUUGUCCUCACGUGAGGAAAAAAUUAAUGUGUUAGUAGGAACUUAACACAAAUAUUGACUUGGACCUAGUACUGUUAUUUUUCCUCCCAGAACAUCAUGGACAGUGUGAAGAUGAAGAUUUUUAAGCCAUUAUAAGAACAUGACAGAUGGAAGACCCUUUACUCCGUAAAAUGUUUGAGUCUGUUAUACACUUUUAAAUGCUGUGGUGUUUCUGACAGUGUCUCUACUGAGAAAUACAUAUUGAUGUGUAUACGCAUAUAUGUACAUAUUACCAAUGCUUAGAUUUUACGCUCACUUUUCCAUUUUGAUACUUUUAGUUAGGACUGUAAAUGUGAAAUACUGAAUGGUCUAAUUAAUGAAAGAAUCUAACGUUAAUUAUUAAAAUAUUCAAGAAUCAAAAUACACAAGAUACAUAUUCCAGAGGCAGGAGUGCUGUAAAAAGGUGGGGCUUGAGGAUGAUUCCAUGGAUCCUGAGUAGACAGGGGGCCCAUAGCGACCACACAUGAUGAAAAUUAUCCAGGAGAACCAAAGUUGUCCAGUUAGAGGGGGCUCAAUGCAUUAAAUCAUAAAAUGGCCUUAAACAUCAAUGAACUGAAGCAGUGUUAUAAAGAAGAGUGGGCCAAAAUUUAUCCAAAAUGAUGUGACAGACAUGUUACUGUUAUUAUAAUUAUGUUAAUUAUGUUAUUGUUAUUAUAUAAUUAUAGAGUGUACUUGUUUUUUUUUUCGCACCUUGUUUCUGAA